GACGAACGCUGGCGGCGUGCUUAACACAUGCAAGUCGAACGGAAAGGCCCUGCUUUUGUGGGAUGCUCGAGUGGCGAACGGGUGAGUAACACGUGAGUAACCUGCCCUUGACUUUGGGAUAACUUCAGGCAACUGGGGCUAAUACCGGAUAGGAGCUCCUGCUGCAUGGUGGGGGUUGGAAAGUUUCGGCGGUUGGGGAUGGACUCGCGGCUUAUCAGCUUGUUGGUGGGGUAGUGGCUUACCAAGGCUUUGACGGGUAGCCGGCCUGAGAGGGUGACCGGCCACAUUGGGACUGAGAUACGGGCCAGACUCCUACGGGAGGCAGCAGUUGGGAAUAAUGCACAAAGGGCGGAAGCCUGAUGCAGCAACGCCGCGUGCGGGAUGACGGCCUUCGGGUUGUAAACCGCUUUCGCCUGUGACGAAGCGUGAGUGACGGUAAUGGGUAAAGAAGCACCGGCUAACUACGUG
Molecule: ribosomal RNA, 468 nt
Filed under: uncultured bacterium
Lineage: Bacteria
Description: partial 16S ribosomal RNA
Rfam family: Bacterial small subunit ribosomal RNA
Source: RNAcentral